This 460-nucleotide ribosomal RNA is filed under the name uncultured bacterium. RNAcentral describes it as "partial 16S ribosomal RNA". It matches the Rfam family "Bacterial small subunit ribosomal RNA", at positions 338 to 795 of the family's 1533-position model. The record is from RNAcentral.
CCUACGGGAGGCAGCAGUGAGGAAUAUUGGUCAAUGGACGAGAGUCUGAACCAGCCAAGUAGCGUGAAGGAUGACUGCCCUAUGGGUUGUAAACUUCUUUUAUAUGGGCAUAAAAUGUUCCACGUGUGGGCUUUUGUAUGUACCAUAUGAAUAAGGAUCGGCUGACUCCGUGCCCGCAGCCGCGGUAAUACGGAAGAUCCGAGCGUUACUCGGAUUUAUUGGGUUUAAAGGGAGCGUUGGUGGAUUGCUAAGUCAGUGGUGAAAGUUUGCGGCUUAACCCUAAAACUGCAGUUGAAACUGGAAGUCUUGAGUACAGUAGAGGUGGGCGGAAUUCGUGGUGUAGCGGUGAAAUGCUUAGAUAUCACGAAGAACUCCGAUUGCGAAGGCAGUUUACCGGAGUGCAACUGACACUGAGGCUCGAAAGUGUGGGUAUCAAACAGGAUUAGAUACCCGUGUAGUC